Molecule: non-coding RNA, 1070 nt
Organism: Triticum urartu
Lineage: Eukaryota; Viridiplantae; Streptophyta; Magnoliopsida; Poales; Poaceae
Source: RefSeq, a predicted model, not a curated record
CCACCAUGCAGCGGUUAACUCGUGGAUUAUGGGGCCAUGGACCGGUCCUUAAGGAGAGAAGGAAGAUGAGGGAGAGAGAAGGAAGGAGAGGAGGGAGAAGGAGAGAGGAAAGAUGAGAGUUUGCCACAAAAAUCUUGCUGACUGUACAGAUCUGAGGAUGAAGAGAACAAGAAGAAUUUAGCUGAAGGGGUGAAGAAAAUCAAGGCUGAGGUGAGCAUCAUGAACAUGAGCAGGCGAGUGGAUGAUACAGAGAGCUCCUCAAACGGGGAAGUAGCAUUGUUGGAGGAACUCGAAGAUGAGAAGGUUCCGAAGUCAUGCCUUUGCCUUACUGUUGUGCUGAUACUAGAUGCAACAUUAUGGACCUCUGGUUCGAGCAUGGCCAGCAUGGCCACGGAUUGUAGGGGAGGAAUGUAUUGCCUAAUGAGUUGUAUGCUUUUCUUCAGAUCCUUUGUGCUCCCUAUCACAUCUGGCUUGGCCACCUACGGAUUCUUGGGUCCAGGUGAGCUCUCCUUCCACUCUACAAGUUUUGCUUGCUCUUUCUGGGCUAUUUGUGAAGGCUAUCCCCUUUCCUAAGUCUCUUAUUUUAUUAUGGAUCAUGGAAGUGGGGAGUGUAACUCACAUUUUUAUAACACCGAUACUUUAGGUAUAUAUACUUUGGUUUUCUGAAAGUGGAUUGCAUUUGCUUCCUAAUCACAUUGAAACAAGAGUGGAAAUAACCAUCAUCCGCUGACCGUUCUUCCUCCCUCAGGUUCCUGAUCUGAAGCGGAGGAACACGAGGUCGCAUCCAUUAAGUGGCAAAAGGGGUUUGCAACGAUUUUCUUCAGUCUGACAAUCAUAUAGUAAUUAGACGGUGUAGUACUAUGGCGGUGGUAUACUAAUUUGGUGUAAGAAUCACUAACAUGAGUUUGCGUGUACAAAUCUUACAGACUUGCUGUUUUUUGUUCAGUUGAAGGGCCCUCCAGGCUUAAGAUCUUUCGAGGAUAAUUGUGUCAUUGAAUCUGAAGGUAUAUGAUUGGUUUCUCAACUCAUGUAUCGAUAAGCAUUUUUUUCAUCCUCAAUAUAUUGUUACU